ACGCACGCUGGCGGCGUGCUUCACACAUGCAAGUCGCACGGAAAGGCCCUGCUUUUGUGGGGUGCUCGAGUGGCGAACGGGUGAGUAACACGUGAGUAACCUGCCCUUGACUUUGGGAUAACUUCAGGAAACUGGGGCUAAUACCGGAUAGGAGCUCCUGCUGCAUGGUGGGGGUUGGAAAGUUUCGGCGGUUGGGGAUGGACUCGCGGCUUAUCAGCUGGUUGGUGGGGUAGUGGCUUACCAAGGCUUUGACGGGUAGCCGGCCUGAGAGGGUGACCGGCCACAUUGGGACUGAGAGACGGCCCAGACUCCUACGGGAGGCAGCAGUGGGGAAUAUUGCACAAUGGGCGGAAGCCUGAUGCAGCAACGCCGCGUGCGGGAUGACGGCCUUCGGGUUGUAAACCGCGUUCGCCUGUGACGAAGCGUGAGUGACGGUAAUGGGUAAAGAAGCACCGGCUAACUACGUG
This 467-nucleotide ribosomal RNA is filed under the name uncultured bacterium. Its description in RNAcentral is "partial 16S ribosomal RNA". It matches the Rfam family "Bacterial small subunit ribosomal RNA", at positions 29 to 507 of the family's 1533-position model. The record is from RNAcentral.